GCCUUGGCAGUUAGAGGCGAUGAAGGACGUGUUAAUCUGCGAUAAGCUUCGGUUAGGUGGUAAAUGACCUAUGAUCCGGAGAUUUCCGAAUGGGGGAACCCAGCAUCUUUUGUAGGAUGUUACCUUUAAGUGAAUUCAUAGCUUAUUGGAGGUAGACGCAGAGAACUGAAACAUCUAAGUACCUGCAGGAAGAGAAAGAAAAUUCGAUUCCCUGAGUAGCGGCGAGCGAAACGGGAACAGCCCAAACCAACAAGCUUGCUUGUUGGGGUUGUAGGACUCAAAUGUGGUAGUAAGCAAGAUAGCCGAAUGACUUGGAAAAGUCAGCCAAAGUGGGUGAAAGCCCCGUAGGCAAAAUUUUGUGAACACCUAUGAGUAUCCUGAGUACGGCGGAACACGAGAAAUUCCGUCGGAAUCUAGGAGGACCAUCUCCUAAGGCUAAAUACUCCCUAGUGACCGAUAGCGAACCAGUACCGUGAGGGAAAGGUGAAAAGCACCCCGGGAGGGGAGUGAAAUAGAACCUGAAACCGUGUGCCUACAACAAGUUAGAGCCCGUUAAUGGGUGAUAGCGUGCCUUUUGUAGAAUGAACCGGCGAGUUACGAUUGCAUGCGAGGUUAAGUUGAAGAGACGGAGCCGUAGCGAAAGCGAGUCUGAAUAGGGCGAUAGAGUAUGUAGUCGUAGACCCGAAACCAUGUGAUCUACCCAUGUCCAGGUUGAAGGUGCGGUAAAACGCACUGGAGGACCGAACCAGGACACGUUAAAAAGUGUUUGGAUGAGCUGUGGGUAGCGGAGAAAUUCCAAUCGAACUUGGAAAUAGCUGGUUCUCUCCGAAAUAGCUUUAGGGCUAGCCUCGUUGUGAGUUUACUGGAGGUAGAGCACUGUUUGGACUAGGGGCCCGUCUUGGGUUACUGAAUUCAGAUAAACUCCGAAUACCAUUGAUCUAUACCCGGGAGUCAGACGAUGAGUGAUAAGAUCCACCGUCGAAAGGGAAACAGCCCAGAUCACCAGUUAAGGUCCCAAAAUUCAUGCUAAGUGGAAAAGGAUGUGGAAAUGCAUAGACAACUAGGAUGUUGGCUUAGAAGCAGCCAUUCAUUCAAAGAGUGCGUAAUAGCUCACUAGUCGAGUGAUUCUGCGCCGAAAAUGUACCGGGGCUAAGCAUGAUACCGAAACUGUGGAUGCAUCGUAAGAUGUGUGGUAGGAGAGCGUUGUAAGAGCAUUGAAGCUGUACCGUGAGGAGCAGUGGAGUUCUUAGAAGUGAGAAUGCCGGUAUGAGUAACGAAAGACCAGUGAGAAUCUGGUCGGCCGCAAGACUAAGGUUUCCUGGGGAAGGCUCGUCCUCCCAGGGUUAGUCGGGGCCUAAGAUGAGACCGAGAGGUGUAAUCGAUGGAUAACAGGUUGAUAUUCCUGUACUAGUUUAUUUUGUUUGAACGAUGGAAGGACGCAGGAGGAUGAUGUGUGCGCGCUGAUGGAUAUGCGCGUCCAAGCAGUAAGUCUUGAUAUGAGUCAAAUGCUUAUAUCUUUAAGGACAAGCUGUGAUGGGGAGUGAAAUUUUAGUAACGAAGCACAAUAACUCACACUGCCAAGAAAAGUUCCUAGUUAGAAAUAAACUACCCGUACCGCAAACCGACACAGGUAGUCGAGGAGAGUAUCCUAAGGUCAGCGAGUGAACUCUCGUUAAGGAACUCGGCAAAAUGACCCCGUAACUUCGGGAGAAGGGGUGCUGGUGUAACAGCCAGCCGCAGUGAAUAGGCCCAAACAACUGUUUAUCAAAAACACAGGUCUAUGCUAAAUCGUAAGAUGACGUAUAUGGGCUGACGCCUGCCCGGUGCUGGAAGGUUAAGAGGAUCAGUUAGCUUUUGCGAAGCUGAGAAUUGAAGCCCCAGUAAACGGCGGCCGUAACUAUAACGGUCCUAAGGUAGCGAAAUUCCUUGUCGGGUAAGUUCCGACCCGCACGAAAGGCGUAAUGAUUUGGG
Molecule: ribosomal RNA, 1971 nt
Filed under: Loxechinus albus
Lineage: Eukaryota; Metazoa; Echinodermata; Echinoidea; Camarodonta; Echinidae
Description: bacterial LSU rRNA
Rfam family: Bacterial large subunit ribosomal RNA
Source: RNAcentral